ACUCCUACGGGAGGCAGCAGUGGGGAAUAUUGGACAAUGGGCGGAAGCCUGAUCCAGCAACGCCGCGUGAGGGAUGACGGCCUUCGGGUUGUAAACCUCUUUCAGUAGGGACGAAGCGCAAGUGACGGUACCUACAGAAGAAGCACCGGCCAACUACGUGCCAGCAGCCGCGGUAAUACGUAGGGUGCGAGCGUUGUCCGGAAUUAUUGGGCGUAAAGGGCUCGUAGGCGGUUUGUCGCGUCGGGAGUGAAAACACCGGGCUUAACUCGGUGCUUGCUUUCGAUACGGGCAGACUAGAGGUAUGCAGGGGAGAACGGAAUUCCUGGUGUAGCGGUGAAAUGCGCAGAUAUCAGGAGGAACACCGGUGGCGAAGGCGGUUCUCUGGGCAUUACCUGACGCUGAGGAGCGAAAGUGUGGGGAGCGAACAGGAUUAGAUACCCUGGUAAUCCACACCGUAAACGUUGGGCGCUAGGUGUGGGGCCUAUUCCAUGGGUUCCCGUGCCGCAGCUAACGCAUUAAGCGCCCCGCCUGGGGAGUACGGCCGCAAGGCUAAAACUCAAAGGAAUUGACGGGGGCCCGCACAAGCGGCGGAGCAUGCGGAUUA
RNAcentral lists this ribosomal RNA (604 nucleotides) under uncultured bacterium. RNAcentral describes it as "bacterial SSU rRNA". It matches the Rfam family "Bacterial small subunit ribosomal RNA", at positions 335 to 948 of the family's 1533-position model. The record is from RNAcentral.